GACGAACGCUGGCGGCGUGCUUAACACAUGCAAGUCGAACGGUAAGGCCCUUUCGGGGGUACACGAGUGGCGAACGGGUGAGUAACACGUGAGUAACCUGCCCUUGACUCUGGGAUAACAGCCGGAAACGGUUGCUAAUACCGGAUAUUCAGCUUCUGCCGCAUGGUGGUUGUUGGAAAGCUUUUGUGGUCAAGGAUGGGCUCGCGGUCUAUCAGCUUGUUGGUGGGGUAGUGGCUCACCAAGGCUUCGACGGGUAGCCGGCCUGAGAGGGUGACCGGCCACAUUGGGACUGAGAUACGGCCCAAACUCCUACGGGAGGCAGCAGUGGGGAAUAUUGCACAAUGGACGGAAGUCUGAUGCAGCAACGCCGCGUGCGGGAUGACGGCCUUCGGGUUGUAAACCGCUUUCAUCCAUGACGAAGCGAGAGUGACGGUAGUGGGAGAAGAAGCACCGGCUAACUACGUG
RNAcentral lists this ribosomal RNA (465 nucleotides) under uncultured organism. RNAcentral's name for it is "bacterial SSU rRNA". It matches the Rfam family "Bacterial small subunit ribosomal RNA", at positions 28 to 507 of the family's 1533-position model. The record is from RNAcentral.